CCUACGGGAGGCUGCAGUCGAGAAUCUUCCGCAAUGGGCGAAAGCCUGACGGAGCGACGCCGCGUGAUGGAUGAAGUUCUUAGGAGCGUAAACAUCUUUUAUGAGGGAAGAAGUGAUGUUGAAUCAUAUGACGGUACCUCAUGAAUAAGUGGCUGCAAAACUCGUGCCAGCAGCAGCGGUAAAACGAGUGCCCCAAGCGUUACCCGGAAUUACUGGGCGUAAAGAGUGCGUCGGUGGUUCUGAUUAGUCCUCCGUUAAAACUCCCGGCCCAACCGGGAAGCUGCGGAGGAAACGGCAGAACUAGAGAAGGCGAGGGGUCUAUGGAACUCAUGGUGUAGGGGUGAAAUCCGUUGAUAUCAUGGGGAACACCAAAAGCGAAGGCAAUAGACUGGCGCCUGUCUGACACUCAAGCACGAAAGCGUGGGGAGCGAACGGGAUUAGAUACCCCGGUAGUC
Molecule: ribosomal RNA, 455 nt
Filed under: uncultured bacterium
Lineage: Bacteria
Description: bacterial SSU rRNA
Rfam family: Bacterial small subunit ribosomal RNA
Source: RNAcentral